UACGUAGGGUGCGAGCGUUGUCCGGAAUUAUUGGGCGUAAAGAGCUUGUAGGCGGUUUGUCGCGUCUGCUGUGAAAAUCCGGGGCUCAACCCCGGACUUGCAGUGGGUACGGGCAGACUAGAGUGUGGUAGGGGAGACUGGAAUUCCUGGUGUAGCGGUGAAAUGCGCAGAUAUCAGGAGGAACACCGAUGGCGAAGGCAGGUCUCUGGGCCACUACUGACGCUGAGAAGCGAUAGCAUGGGGAGCGAACAGG
This 253-nucleotide ribosomal RNA is filed under the name uncultured bacterium. RNAcentral describes it as "partial 16S ribosomal RNA". It matches the Rfam family "Bacterial small subunit ribosomal RNA", at positions 524 to 776 of the family's 1533-position model. The record is from RNAcentral.